Molecule: long non-coding RNA, 621 nt
Organism: Amphiprion ocellaris (clown anemonefish)
Lineage: Eukaryota; Metazoa; Chordata; Actinopteri; Pomacentridae
Exons: 2
Source: RefSeq, a predicted model, not a curated record
GAGGAGGAAUUGGAAGUUUGUCAGCUUAGACCUGGUGUCAUUCCAUCAGUGUUAAACUUCCCGGCUCAUCUUGGAAGAGUACGUGCCAGAAAGACCACGACCAAGCAGCCUUGAGAUCUUAGGCAGCGUCUCCCUGAGACAUCCACCAACCACUGGAACACAUCUCCAAAGUUCUGCCGGGCCAUCUCAGCUUCCCCUCAGAAGAAGUGGCGCCACCUGCCAGAUGAAGGAGCCUUUUGAGAGGCAGCUGGCAUCGUGAUUGGACUGUACUUUGGUCUGUUCCAAUCCAGCUUCAGCUCCAGAGACGGCAGGCGGGACGAGUCAACGGAGGCCUGGUGGACGAAGGCAUGCAGCUGAGUACAAUCCAGAAAACAACAGAGGAGGAGUGCAGCAGACCAGGACCAGAACAAGCAGAGUAGCAUCGUAUGUCUCUUAGAAAACAUCAUAGUAUAGCCUUUGGGAUGAAAAAACGCCAUCAUAUACAUCGUAUAUUGUACAAAUAACAAGUCAAAGCAAAGAGACAUACAUUGUAGAAUUGUAGUAAUUGUGGGCUGACUGAUUUACUGAUUAUCAGUAUUUUAUUUUUACUGAUUUACGGUAAUAAAUACAUUUAAAAAUGGU